RNAcentral lists this ribosomal RNA (1085 nucleotides) under uncultured bacterium. Its description in RNAcentral is "bacterial SSU rRNA". It matches the Rfam family "Bacterial small subunit ribosomal RNA", at positions 8 to 1104 of the family's 1533-position model. The record is from RNAcentral.
AGAGUUUGAUCCUGGCUCAGGGUUAACGCUGGCGGCGUGCCUAACACAUGCAAGUCGAACGGUUCUAAGCGCGAGCUUAGGAUAGUGGCGAACGGGUGAGUAAAAGGUAGGAAUCUACCCCUUGGACGGAGAUAGCUACUGGAAACGGUAGGUAAACUUCGAUAAGCCCGAGAGGGGAAAGUGGUGAGACAGCCGAGGGAUGAGCCUACUCUCCAUCAGGUAGUUGGUGAGAUAAAAGCUUACCAAGCCGAUGACGGAUAACCGGUGUGAGAGCAUGAACGGUCACAAGGGCACUGAGAGACGGGCCCUACUCCUACGGGAGGCAGCAGUGGGGAAUCUUGGACAAUGGGCGAAAGCCUGAUCCAGCGACGCCGCGUGGAGGAAGAAGUCCUUCGGGAUGUAAGCUUCUGAACUAGCCGAAUAAAAGGCCUGUGGACACACAGGAGAAGAAAGUAGGCUAGGAAAAGUCCCGGCUAACUACGUGCCAGCAGCCGCGGUAAGACGUAGGGGGCAAGCGUUACCCGGAAUUACUGGGCGUAAAGGGGGCGUAGGCGGUAAAAGAAGUCAUCUGUGAAAACCUAUUGCUCAACGAUAGGCUAGCGGAUGAAACUGAAUUACUUGAGGGCACCAGAGGUAGACGGAAUUACCCGAGUAGGGGUGAAAUCCGCAGAUACGGGUAGGAACGCCGGUGGAGAAGUCGGUCUACUGGGGUGCACCAGACGCUGAGGCCCGAAAGCUAGGGGAGCAAACCGGAUUAGAUACCCGGGUAGUCCUAGCCGUAAACGAUGCUCACUAGGUGUAGGGAGUGAUAAACUCUCUGUGCUGAAGCGAACGCGCUAAGUGAGCCGCCUGGGGAGUACGUCCGCAAGGAUGAAACUCAAAGGAAUUGACGGGGGUCCGCACAAGCGGUGGAGCAUGUGGUUUAAUUCGAUGGUAACCGGAGAACCUUACCAGGGAUUGACAUGUAACUGAAGGUAGAGAAAUCUACUGGCCUGCUGCAAAGCGGGAGGUUACACAGGUGGUGCACGGCCGUCGUCAGCUCGUGCCGUGAGGUGUUGGGUUAAGUCCCGCAACGAGCGCAACCC